UUUUUCUUCCCUUUCCUUCCUUUCUUUUUGGUUUAGAGAAGCCCUGUCAAUAUUUCCUUUAACCUGGGUUUUGUGUUGCUGUAUUCUUUAAGUUUUUGUUUGUUGGAAAAAAAUUGUAUUUCCCCUUCUAUUUUAAAUGAUAUUCUUGCUGGAUAAAGUAUUCUAGGUUGCAUAUUUUUUUCCUUUUAGCACUUUAAAUAUCUCUUGCCAUUCCCUCCUGGCCUGUAGUGUUUCUGUAGAGAAAUCAGCUGAUAAUCUUAGGGGGGUUCCCUUGUAGGUAACAUUCUGUUUUUCUCUUGCUGCCUUUAGGAUCCUCUUUAUCACUAACUUUUGCCGUUUUUAUUAUGAUGUGUCUUGGUGUGGGUCUAUUUGGGUUCAGUUUGUUUGGGUCCCUCUGUGCUUCUUGUAUCUUGAACCCGGUAUCCUUUAGAUUUGGGAAGUUUCCGUCGAUAAUUUCUUCAAAUAUAUUUUCCAUUCCCUUAUCUCUUUCUACUCCUUCUGGAAUUCCUAUUAUACGUAGAUUGGCCCGCUUUAUAUUAUCCCAUAGGUCUCAUAUUGCUUUCCAGUUUUUUUAUUCGGUUUUCUGUCUCCUGACCGGAUUGGGUAAUUUCCAUUAUUCUAUCUUCCAUAUCACUGAUUCGUUCUUCUGCAUUAUUCAUUCUGGUUUUUACUGCCCUUAGUUCAGUUUGCAUCUCUGCAAAUGAAUGUUCUAGUUUUUCUUGGCUCCUCCUUAUAUUUUCUAGUUCCUUUCUGAGGGUAUCUGCAUUACUGUUCAUAUCUUCUCUUAAUUCCUUCAGUAUUUUCACUAUUUCUCUUUUGAACUCCAGGUCUGUCUGACUGCAGAGAUCUGUUUCAUUGUUGACUGUUUUAGGUGAGUUCUCCUGUUGGUUUGACUGGAGGUGGUUUCUCAGCUUCUUCAUCUUGCUUGUUGUUUUCUUUCUCCUGAGGGAGUUAUACUCUCCGUGAUUGGGCAGUGUUUGCCUUGUCACUGCUGUGGAAUAUUUCCUGAGGGCUGGUGUUGUUGGUUAAUCUUUUUUGAGGCAGUGUGGCUUUUCUGGAGUGUUGAUGGGGCUAACAGUGUUUCUUUGAAGCAAAGGAGGACUUCCUGAGGGCAGACAGGACUGGGAGGUCCACCCCACGAUGGUAGCAGAUUUCACUUGGUCAUGCAGAGCUUGCUCUGGUGUUUUUAGGCUGUGGGGUUCUUGCAGGGGGUUGGCGGUGUUGGGCAGCUGUUCCUCAGGAGUGCAGCACCCCCUGGGGGCUGGAGCAGCUAUCUGGGUCACUGAGAACCUAAGAGGCUCUUCCCUAGGGCAGCCCAACUCAGAAGGAUGGCCUGAGAAUGUAGGCGGAUCUUUUCAUAGUCUGGCCAAGCUUGUUGCAGCUUUUCUGGGCUUCAGGGGCUCUUCCAGGGGGCUGGUGGUGCUGAGCAGCUAUUCUGGGGGAGUGGGGCACCCCCUGAGGGCUUAGGUGCCUAGCAGGGCCACUGAAAACCCAAGAGGCUCCUCCCAGGGCAGCCCAACUCAGAAAGACCGUCUGAGAUCUUUUCCCGGCUUGGCCAAGCUUCUUGCAGCUUUUCUGGGCUACAGGGGGUCCUGCCUGGAGCUGGAAGUCCUAUGCAGCUGAUCUGCUAGGUCUCGGCACCCCCUGGAGGCUUGGGCGGGUAGCAGGGCCGCUGGAACCCAAGAGGCUCCUCCCCAGGGCAGCCCGAUUAUCUGAGAAAUUCUUUAGCUCUCCUUACAUUCUAAUGAUAAUCCUGCUAGGUAGAAUAUUCUAGGUUGCAUGAUUUUCCAUUUUAAGACUUUGUAUAGGACUUCCCAUCAUGGCGCAGCAGAGAUGAAUCCAACUAGGAACCAUGAGGUUGAGUUCGAUCCAUGGCCUUGUUCACUGGGUGAAGUAUCUGGGGUUGCCAUGAGCUGUGGUGUAGGUCACAAACAUGGCUCAGCUCUGGCGUUGCUGUGGCUCCAGUAUAGGCCAGCGGCUACAGCUCUGAUUAGACCCUUAGCCUGGGAACUUCCAUAUGCAGUGGGUGCAACCCUAAAAAAGGACAAAAGGGCAAAAAAAAAAAAAAGACUGUAUAUAUUUUGCCUCUCCCUUCUUGCCUGUAGUGUUUCUUUAGAGAAAUCAGCUGAUAGCCUUAUAGGGGUCCCUUUGUAAUUAACUCUUUGUUUUUCCCUUGCUGCCUUUAGAAUACUCUCUUUAACUUCUACCAUUGUAACUAUAGUAUGUCUUGGUGUAAGUCUCUUUGGAUUCGUCUUGUUUGGGUCUCUCUGUUUCUUGAACCUGGAUAUCUGUUUGCUUCUUUAGGUUUGGAAAGUUUUCAGCCAUAAUUUCUUCAAAUACAUUUUCAAUCCCCUUUUCUCUUCUCCUUCUGGAAUCCCUAUUUUGCAUAGAUUGGCAUGCUUUAUAUUAUCCCGUAGGUCGCUUUUAUUGCUUUCAUUUUUUAAAUUUGGCUUCUGUCUCCUGUUCUGAUUGGGUGAUUCCCAUUAUUCUAUAUCCCAGGUCACUUACUUGUUCUUCUGUAUUACUCAUUCUGCUAUUCAUUACCUUUAGCUCAGCUUUCCUCUGUGCAAAUUAAUUUUCUAAUUUUUCUGGGCUCCAUUUACUUUCUAGUUGCUUUUUAUAGUAAUCUGCUUUUCCAUCAAUAGCCUUUCUUAAUUCCUUCAGUAUUUCUGUUAUUUCCUUUUUGAACUCAAUGUCUAUUAGACUGAAGAGGUCUGUUUCAUUUGUUCUUUCAGGGGAUGUCUCUUGGUCUUUCAACUUGGAGUGGUUUCUCUGCUUCUUCAUUUUGCAUAUAUUUCUCUUACUCUGUAAGUUUAAGAGAAACAGUUAUCUACUGUGGCAUUGGAAGGCUAUUUAUGUGCAGAGGUAUCCCUGUGUAGUUUGUGUGGGUUUAAUGUUUUUGGCAUGAAGGCUGUUUUUAGUAUGCAUGACUGCCACCUCUUUCCUCACUGUGUGCUGGCCAUUAUCCCCUUGAUAGGGAAUGUGCAGAUGCGGUGACUUUUGCGUUUCUGGAACCUGAGACAGUGGUGGCAGCAGCUGGCACACACUCCUGUAACCCACAGCACCAGCAGCAGUUAAUGACUGUUACCAGGUAACUCAGCACCAGCUCACACUCAUGCCCCACACUCCAAGACAGUGACAUCUGGUCACCUGAGAGCAUCAUGCACCUGGGGGAAAGGGUGGGUCCUGCCUCUCCCCUCAUGCAUCCCCCAAAAAAUGGCACUUCAUCUGUAUGGCAGGCCCAGGUUUCUUCCGCAUACACCCUUGGUUGUAGCUGCACCACACUCUGACCUCUUUAGGCCAUCCCUCGCAGUCAACUCCAGCCCCCUCCCCAGGUCUAACCUCUGAAGCCUGAGCUUUAGCACCCAGCCUCCACCCUCCCAGAGGAUGUGUCUCAAGCUGAGGAGUGCAGCACAGCAGCACCAGCCAUCUGUACAGGUCUCUCCAUUUUGCCUUCCACAUACCCUGUUGCUGCAUUCUCCUCCAAGGCUCCAAAGUUCCCCCUCCAUCCUGGCUGAUCUCCCUGCCAGUGAAGGGACUUCCCAUGGUGCAGGAACAUUGCCUCUUUUCACAGCUCCCUCCCAGGGGUGAAGGUCCUGUCUUGAUUCCUUUCACUCUCUCUCCCUCUUUUUUCUUUUUCCUCUUAUCCCACCCAGUUAUGUGGAGAUUUUCUUACCUUUUCAGAAAUCUGAGGUCUUCUGCCAGUGUUCAAUAGAUAUUCUGUGAGAAUUGUUCUACAUGUAGAUGUAUUUUUGAUGUAUUUGUAGGAGGAGGUGAGCUCCAUGUCCUACUACUCUAACAUCUUGAUUGCUCCCCUUACUUGCUGAGUUUAAAGCAUUUUUAUCUAUGGAAGAUUUAGAACCAGAGUAAUCAGUCACUUUAUUCAAAAACUUAUCAACUUUGCCUUUUCAAUAAGUUAUUAUUUAGGAUUGCUCUGAUCAUUUUAUUCCUCCGUAAUUAGCAUCCCUAUUAUUUACUUGAAGCUUUAUUUAAUCAUCUUAUUAUGUCUUUUCUUUCUCCUAUAUUCCUAACCCUUUUACUUUCCUCUGCCUCUUGCCUGUGUUGUAAGAUCUGACUGAAUAGUAAUACUACUCUUUCUCUUUAGUUCAGUCCAAGGUAAUUAGUUUAAAUGAAGCUGCUUACUGCUGCUGAGAAGAGGACAUUAGGCCUCACUACUAACAAAAAUGAAAAACCAGAAAUGUAAGUCUGUUCUCUUCAAAGACCUUUAGUGACACAUUGAGAUAAGUAAAAAUUUUUUUUCAGAGAGAAAAAAUACAUAUAAUGUGGUCAGUUAUGUAAACUGUUGUAACCCAUCUACUAAGCAAGUGCCUGUGCAACUGAGUCAUAGCAUUUACAAAGCUAAAGUUGGAGAAAGGAAUAUAGCUCAUUCUCCAAGCAUCUUCCCAUCACCUCUCUUCCAGCUGAAUAACCAGAAAAUCAGGGAAGCACUGGGCUAGCAAUACCUGACUUAUCAAAGUCUCCUUUGGAUGUAGAAAUAAUGGUCUUUCAUAAUGUCUAGAGAACUUUGUGACAAGUUUAGAAGACCUUUCCAACUGUGAGUUAAAAAUAUAAUAGAACAAAAAUAUUCCAAAAUGAAUGUUUUAGGAGUUCCCAUUUGGCUCAGCAGUUUACCUGACAUAGCAUUCGGAAGGCUACAAGUUCAAUCCUUGGCCUCCUGCAGUGGGUUAAGGAUUUGGUAUUGGCACAAGCUGCAGUAUGGGUUCCAGGUGAUUUGGAUUCAGCAUUGGUAUGGCUGUGGUGUAGGCCAGCAACUAUAGCUCUGAUUCAGCCUCUAGCCUAGGAACUUCCAUA
This 4812-nucleotide long non-coding RNA is filed under the name Sus scrofa (pig). RNAcentral's name for it is "lncRNA (ENSSSCG00000052923.1)". The record is from RNAcentral. Lineage: Eukaryota; Metazoa; Chordata; Mammalia; Artiodactyla; Suidae.